RNAcentral lists this non-coding RNA (148 nucleotides) under Nomascus leucogenys (northern white-cheeked gibbon). Lineage: Eukaryota; Metazoa; Chordata; Mammalia; Primates; Hylobatidae. The record is from Rfam by way of RNAcentral.
GCCAGGCAUGGUGGCACAUGCCUGUAUUCCUGCUUACUUGGGAGGCUGAGGUGGGAGGAUUUCUUGAGCCCAGGAGUUUGAAGUUGCAGUGAGCUAUGAUUGAGCCACUGCACUUCAGCCUGGGUGACAGAGCAAGAUCUUGUCUCUC